This is a long non-coding RNA of Xiphophorus maculatus (southern platyfish), 1473 nucleotides long. RefSeq lists it as uncharacterized. Lineage: Eukaryota; Metazoa; Chordata; Actinopteri; Cyprinodontiformes; Poeciliidae. The transcript has 6 exons. The record is from RefSeq and is a predicted model, not a curated record.
AUUCGGUUUUGCCGCCCUUACAUUCCAGACUUUUGCUUUUAACAUCUCCAUUUGGGUUUUAAUUCACCACUUCAUGAUAAUUUUACUCUUUCACUCUUUCAUUCUGGCGGGAUGAUGAGUUUAAACUUAAAUGGCAUGUUCUUUGUUAUUGUGUUUUACAUUGCUUUCUCACCAUUGAUUAUUCAGGUAAUCCUGUGCAUGAGGGGACAGAAACCAGGAGCUCCAAAAUUAACCUGAAUUGGAGCUUGUCUGAACUGAAUAACUUUGUGUGUCAAAGCUACCCACACAUUAGCCUAAAUCUGGUUGGCUUUGAACUGGCAAGAUGUGGAAAAGGACGAAAGGUAAAAAAAAAUUACUAGUGAAUUCUGUGAGGGAGCUGAAGGAAAAGGUUGACAAAAGCAGACUCUACAUUCCACCCCCGAGCAGACACAGGUAUGAUUGUUUUGUACACAAAAAUAAUUUCAUGUAGUAUGGUAUAUCCAGAGUAAUAUCUUCCACUAUAAUUUGAAAUGUCUUGGCCAUGUCUAGGAAACCUAAGCAAUGUCCAGGAGUUUGUUUCCAGAACCCUCAACUGCACCAGAAGUACAGGAUAUCUCUCCAGAGGCUGAGAGUACCAACAGACAACAUUUAGGGGAAGAGCAGACACUGCUAGAUUGGCGAUCUCUGCGGUCCCAGCAAGACGAAGAGUCUGAAGAGUCUUUGUUAGCAGACCAAGAAAAAGAAAGGAGAAAACAGUGUUACAAGGCCUGGGAGGAAAGACGCAUAAAGCAAUUAAAGAACGCCUUCAACGACUGGCGGUAUAUAAAGAACCGUCAAGUGGACUGCUGUUGAAGUUCAAAUAUCCAAAUGGAUUUAUCAGAAAGAGAACUUUCAAUGUGUCUGACCCAAUUCUGGUCUUGUUUGACUUUGUCGGACAAGAUGAAAUGGCAAGUGAAAUAUUCAGUGUUCAACAAGCAACAUCAUCCAAACCAAUUGAGAGUACCUCAUCAGGCUCACUUAUGGAUCCUGGCAUAACAACAUCUGCAACUCUGUCCGUGCUUUGGAUUUCAACUCUAGAUAUUCAGGAAAGGUGUCCAGUUCAGGCAAAUGUAGUGCUGGAGCAGUCACUGUCUUCUGUCCGAAGUCUACAGACAUCGCUUUCUGACCAAGCACUGACAUCUUUGUCAGCCCAGUCACCACUGGCCCCAACAUUUCCUCAAGUCCUGUCGACCAUGUUCAACUCCCCAGAAACAUCAACUUCGUUCUCCUCCCGGGCAACUGUGUCCCAGCUCUAUACUCAAGUACAACCAAUUUUGCCGUCUUCUGAAGUUUCUUUGGUUGCAACCUCAAGGCUGCCCCUCUCCUCCCACUCUAACCUGACUCCACAGGUGAUGACCAUUGAGGACCAGGCACCAGCUCUCCAUUUACUGAGCAACCUAUAAAUCUACUGGAAAACCAAACAGAGCCACCAGAGUCUCUACAACAGGGGUCUCA